This 416-nucleotide long non-coding RNA is filed under the name Homo sapiens (human). Its description in RNAcentral is "non-protein coding lnc-DEGS2-7:5". The record is from RNAcentral. Lineage: Eukaryota; Metazoa; Chordata; Mammalia; Primates; Hominidae.
GUGCCGGGUGCACCUCGCGAGCUAGCUGCCGCCCCGCCUGUGUCGCGGUCGUACCCUCCGCCCUCUGCGCCGAGAGCCGCUGCCGCCCGAGACCUUCGAGGGCUCCUCGCCCCUGCUUCCUGGGAGACCCUCUCCGCUGGGAGAGUCGCAGUCACGGAGCCGGGGGACACCUCCGGGCGUGGUGGAGCACAUCUGAGGGCCCAGCUACUCGGGAGCUGAGGCAGGAGGAUCCCUUAAGCCUGGGAAGUCAAGGCUGCAGUGAGCCGAGAUGGGUGCCACUUCACUCCAGCCUAGGCGACAGAGUGAGACUUGCAGAAGGAAAGAGAGAAAAGAAAUACAGUAACAGUUAAUAAAAUUCUUAACACACAUGUAAUAAUGUAUUUUACUCACACAUUAAAUAACAAGACUAAAGUUGC